This 1372-nucleotide ribosomal RNA is filed under the name uncultured bacterium. Its description in RNAcentral is "bacterial SSU rRNA". It matches the Rfam family "Bacterial small subunit ribosomal RNA", at positions 28 to 1381 of the family's 1533-position model. The record is from RNAcentral.
GAUGAACGCUGGCGGCGUGCCUAAUACAUGCAAGUCGAGCGAACGGACGAGAAGCUUGCUUCUCUGAUGUUAGCGGCGGACGGGUGAGUAACACGUGGAUAACCUACCUAUAAGACUGGGAUAACUUCGGGAAACCGGAGCUAAUACCGGAUAAUAUUUUGAACCGCAUGGUUCAAAAGUGAAAGACGGUCUUGCUGUCACUUAUAGAUGGAUCCGCGCUGCAUUAGCUAGUUGGUAAGGUAACGGCUUACCAAGGCAACGAUGCAUAGCCGACCUGAGAGGGUGAUCGGCCACACUGGAACUGAGACACGGUCCAGACUCCUACGGGAGGCAGCAGUAGGGAAUCUUCCGCAAUGGGCGAAAGCCUGACGGAGCAACGCCGCGUGAGUGAUGAAGGUCUUCGGAUCGUAAAACUCUGUUAUUAGGGAAGAACAUAUGUGUAAGUAACUGUGCACAUCUUGACGGUACCUAAUCAGGAAGCCACGGCUAACUACGUGCCAGCAGCCGCGGUAAUACGUAGGUGGCAAGCGUUAUCCGGAAUUAUUGGGCGUAAAGCGCGCGUAGGCGGUUUUUUAAGUCUGAUGUGAAAGCCCACGGCUCAACCGUGGAGGGUCAUUGGAAACUGGAAAACUUGAGUGCAGAAGAGGAAAGUGGAAUUCCAUGUGUAGCGGUGAAAUGCGCAGAGAUAUGGAGGAACACCAGUGGCGAAGGCGACUUUCUGGUCUGUAACUGACGCUGAUGUGCGAAAGCGUGGGGAUCAAACAGGAUUAGAUACCCUGGUAGUCCACGCCGUAAACGAUGAGUGCUAAGUGUUAGGGGGUUUCCGCCCCUUAGUGCUGCAGCUAACGCAUUAAGCACUCCGCCUGGGGAGUACGACCGCAAGGUUGAAACUCAAAGGAAUUGACGGGGACCCGCACAAGCGGUGGAGCAUGUGGUUUAAUUCGAAGCAACGCGAAGAACCUUACCAAAUCUUGACAUCCUUUGACAACUCUAGAGAUAGAGCUUUCCCCUUCGGGGGACAAAGUGACAGGUGGUGCAUGGUUGUCGUCAGCUCGUGUCGUGAGAUGUUGGGUUAAGUCCCGCAACGAGCGCAACCCUUAAGCUUAGUUGCCAUCAUUAAGUUGGGCACUCUAAGUUGACUGCCGGUGACAAACCGGAGGAAGGUGGGGAUGACGUCAAAUCAUCAUGCCCCUUAUGAUUUGGGCUACACACGUGCUACAAUGGACAAUACAAAGGGCAGCGAAACCGCGAGGUCAAGCAAAUCCCAUAAAGUUGUUCUCAGUUCGGAUUGUAGUCUGCAACUCGACUACAUGAAGCUGGAAUCGCUAGUAAUCGUAGAUCAGCAUGCUACGGUGAAUACGUUCCCGGGUCU